This is a long non-coding RNA of Passer domesticus (house sparrow), 3376 nucleotides long. RefSeq lists it as uncharacterized. The record is from RefSeq and is a predicted model, not a curated record. The transcript has 8 exons. Lineage: Eukaryota; Metazoa; Chordata; Aves; Passeriformes; Passeridae.
GAGAGUGGCGUGUCGCGUCGUGUCGCGGACCGGCUUGACCUUCUCAAGAGGGCGGCCAAAAGGGCGGGAAAAAUGAGGCCCAUGGUGUGUCUAUUGAGCUGCCCGCACGGCGCUCCAUCGCCGGCGCGACCCCGGAGGAAUUUUCUGUGGCGAUUCACGUGCUGUGGACACGGGCUGUGCGCUCAGCGGCGCCGCGGGCGGUGGCGUUUGUGGCGGGCGCUGACAGGCUUGAGCAUAGACGCCUCUCUUUGCCGAGGGCUUCUCGCGGCCGCCAUCUUGAGAGUGGCGUGUCGCGUCGUGUCGCGGACCGGCUUGACCUUCUCAAGAGGGCGGCCAAAAGGGCGGGAAAAUCCAGGUUAGCCGAGAAUAGCCGAGUGUAGCCGAAGAGCCGACGAUAGCCGAGUUUUGCCGACAAUAGCCGGGUGUAGCCGAAGAGCCGACGAUAGCCGAGUUUUGCCGACAAUAGCCGGGUGUUGCCGAACAGCCGACGAUAGCCGAGUUCAGCCGAAGUGCCGAAACAAGCCCAGCUUAGACCAACAGCCGAACCAAACCGCCGCUGCACGUACGUGUUUUAAUCGCGUAACCGGGCGGACUCGGGAAAGCCGACAGCCGGAGUAGAUUUCUGUUUGGUCUGUGUCUGUCAGGAGCGGGCUGUGUGCUGGACAGGGAGAGACGCUGUCGGAGCGUGGCGACAGCGCCAGCUGUGAGCUCUGAGGAUGAUGAGGGCUCCGAGCAGCCCCAGCCCUGAGCUGCGAGGAUGAGGAGGGGGCGGCUCCUGCCGGGAGGAGGCUGUUUUAGGGGGGAAGGGGUUGCCUGAGCUCCCUUUUGCCUGGAGCUGCUGAGCAGAGGGGUUUAUGGGGGGCUCCCGGCGCUGUCUCGUGGAAGGACGCCGAGAGCUUCUCCGAGGGUCUGGGGGAACACCUGGAUACGCCCUUGGAUGCGUGGAGCAUCGCUCAAAGGAGGUGCCGAGGAACAAAGCUCCGUGCCGGGAAGCAGCAGCCGAACAGCCGUGACCAAGGGACCACAGCCCGGUGACUGCGGGACAUUGCCAGCGAGAGAGGCGGCCUUCCUUUGCAGCGGACGUGGAUUCUCAUCCCAGGAUGCUCGAGAGAUAAGUCGAGGGCUGUGCCACGCUGAGGGGAUGGCAGCGAGGUGCUGGGAGGGCCUUUUGAGUAGUUUCUUGGGAGGCAGGGAUGUGCAGGAGAUGGCCCCUUAGGCCACAUGGAGGAGAAGUCUCACAGUGCUGAGGUGCUCAGGGCAGAGCGGUCCCGGUGCCUGUCACUUGUGUCACUUGUCUGUCGUGCCUUCUGUGUCUUUUGGAUGUCUCGUGUCUUGUGCCUUAGUCCUUUGAGGGGCUUAUGGUUUGUCCUGUUCUGUGUCACGGGUGUCUGGGUGUUUGGGCCGAUGCCGCUCUGCCCUGCUGCAAAGCCUGGUGUAGGUAUCAUAGGAGAAGUCCUGGGGGCCUGGACAUUUGUAAUGCAGGGUGUAGGUGGGCUCGGGAUGGGAUUUGUAGAUUGACGCUAGACGUCUGGAGCUCCUGUGUUACCCUGCAGCACUCUGACUUUUGUGCUAACGUUCUUUCAGGUGCAGCCAGCUGAAUUCCGUGGCAGAGGGGCCCGUGCCGGGUGAGUGGGUUGCCCCAGGCAGGAAGUCAAGCCGGGUAUCAGCAGGCAAGGUGUUCCAGUGGUAUUACGCCGAGACCCCCUCAGCAACUGGCCAACGGACCCGGUUCGUCGCUCUCGUGGGAACUUGGGAAGUAGCACAGGGCUCUGUGCUGAAGCCUUGACCUUUUCCAUUUGAAAGUGUCGCCUGGGGAGCCUGCUGGAAGGACUAAGGAGUUGCUGCAGGCCCUGCGACAACGGCGUCGGCCUCCGAGGGCGGCCGCAGCGUGCGGGCCGAGGAGCCGGGCGUCCUUAGGAGAAUGCUGUGACCAAGGGACCACAGCCCGGUGACAGCAGGAAAUUGCCAGCGAGAGAGGCGGCCUUCCUUUGCAGCGGACGUGGAUUCUUAUCCAGGAUGCUCGAGAGAUAAGUCGAGGGCUGUACCACGCUGAGGGGAUGGAAGCGAGGUGCUGGGAGGGCCUUUUGAGUAGCUUCUUGGGAGGCAGGGAUGUGCAGGAGAUGGCCCCUUAGGCCACAUGGAGGAGAAGUCUCAGCGUGCUGAGGUGCUCAGGGCAGAGCAGUCCCGGUGCCUGUCACUUGUGUCACUUGUCUGUCGUGCCUUCUGUGUCUUUUGGAUGUCUCAUGUCACGUGUCUUGUGCCUUAGUCCUUUGAGGGGCUUAUGGUUUGUCCUGUUCUGUGUCACGGGUGUCUGGGUGUUUGGUCCGAUGCCGCUCUGCCCGCCUGCAAAGCCUGGUGUAGGUAUCAUAGGAGAAGUCCUGGGGGCCUGGAAAUUUGUAAUACAGGGUGUAGGUGAGCUCUGGAUGGGAUUUGUAGAUUGACGCUAGAUGUCUGGAGCUCCUGUGGUAUCCUGCAGCACUCUGACUUUUGUGCUAACAUUCUUUCAGAUGCAGCCAGCUGAAAUCUGUGGCAGAGGGACCUGUGCCGAGUGAGUGGGCUCUGCAGAGCAGGAAGUCAAGCCGGGUAUCAGCAGGCAAGGCGUUCCAGUGGUAUUACGCCGAGACCCCCUCAGCAACUGGCCAACGGACCCGGUUCAUGGCUUUUGUGGGAAUUGAUCUUGAGGAGUAAAUUUCUGUUCAAGUGAUUUUUUUUUUUUUAAUCUAUUAUUAUGUUGUGUCUUAGUCCUGUUAAUUGUUUUGAAUUUUAUUUUUGAUACUUUGAGGCAACUUCUUUGUGGUUUUCUGUUUUUUUGUUUGGUUUUUUUUGUAGCUAAUAUUAUACAAGUUUUUUUUUUCUAAUGAUGUUAGUAAUUUUAAUUAUUGUGGCUUAACUGUAAUUUGGGUAAGGGUGUAUAAAUUGUAGUUUAAGAGUUUGUGAUAUAUAGGAUUUAUUGAUUUACAAUUUAAAGUUUGCGAGGGAUAACGUUAGGUGUUAAGAGGUAUACUAGCAAUGUAUGUAGAAAAUGUAUUUUUAGGAUUGGUGACUGAUGAACACUGUAUUUGGAUGCAUGGUUUUAGUUAGGGUUGCUUAUGUGUUUUGUUUUGGUUGUGGAACUAUUUAUGUAGGGUUUUUUUGGUGUAUUUUAAAUAAGUUUUGACACAGUGAGCAGCAAUCUCGUGUAUUUAUUUUUUGUGGAAACAGGUAUAACUUUUUCUUCAGGUUAUGAAAUUUACAGGAUUACUUUAUUGAUUACUUACUAAAUAUUGUUCUCGAGUAGGUUUUCGUAACUCUGAUUUUGAAAUCAAAGAAAAAUGAGUGGAAAAAGAUGAGGUAGAGCAGUUUUCUCCUUAUGGGAUAUAAAGGGUUUAACACAGAA